Molecule: non-coding RNA, 31 nt
Filed under: Homo sapiens (human)
Lineage: Eukaryota; Metazoa; Chordata; Mammalia; Primates; Hominidae
Source: RNAcentral
UGCACAGGGUGGUCCCAUGACCCCUGAGGAG